GCGGUUAGACGAGAGGCCUAAGUUGACAACCAUCGGCGUAAAGAGUGGUUAAGGAAAACUAAAACUAAAGCCGAAUGUUUUCAUGGCUGUUAUACGCAUCCGAAAAUAAGAAGCUCCCCUACGAAAGUGGCUUUAACCCACCUGACCCCACGAAAGCUGUGAAA
RNAcentral lists this ribosomal RNA (164 nucleotides) under Belone belone. RNAcentral's name for it is "partial small subunit ribosomal RNA". Lineage: Eukaryota; Metazoa; Chordata; Actinopteri; Beloniformes; Belonidae. The record is from RNAcentral.